AGCCUUGAGGUGAGUUUCAUGUUGAAUUGCAAAUUCAAAGAAGCAGGCUAGAGCCUGCCGGGGCUU
Molecule: transfer RNA, 66 nt
Filed under: Typhlomys cinereus (Soft-furred tree mouse)
Lineage: Eukaryota; Metazoa; Chordata; Mammalia; Rodentia; Platacanthomyidae
Description: tRNA-Cys
Source: RNAcentral